RNAcentral lists this ribosomal RNA (342 nucleotides) under uncultured Gemmatimonadaceae bacterium. RNAcentral's name for it is "bacterial SSU rRNA". It matches the Rfam family "Bacterial small subunit ribosomal RNA", at positions 1041 to 1382 of the family's 1533-position model. The record is from RNAcentral. Lineage: Bacteria; Pseudomonadati; Gemmatimonadota; Gemmatimonadia; Gemmatimonadales; Gemmatimonadaceae.
CUGCAUGGCUGUCGUCAGCUCGUGUCGUGAGAUGUUGGGUUAAGUCCCGCAACGAGCGCAACCCUUGUCACUAGUUACCAGCGGGUCAUGCCGGGCACUCUAGUGAGACUGCCGGUGCCAAACCGGAGGAAGUGGGGACGACGUCAAGUCAUCAUGGUCCUUACGUCUAGGGCUACACACGUGCUACAAUGGGCGGGACAGCGGGUUGCGAAGCCGCAAGGUGGAGCCAAUCCCCCAAACCCGCCCUCAGUUCGGAUUGUCGUCUGCAACUCGACGGCAUGAAGCUGGAAUCGCUAGUAAUCGCGGAUCAGCUACGCCGCGGUGAAUACGUUCCCGGGCCUU